GCGCAGCUACACUGCAGUCGAGCGGGGAAGUAGCUGCUACGACCAGCGGCGGACGGGUGAGUAUGCUUAGGAAUCUGCCUAUUAGUGGGGACAACAUCUCGAAAGGGAUGCUAAUACCGCAUACGUCUACGGAGAAAGCAGGGGAUCUUCGGACCUGCGCUAUAGAUGAGCUAAGUCGGAUAGCUAGUUGGUGGGGUAAAGGCCUACCAAGGCGACGAUCUGUAGCGGGUCUGAGAGGAUGAUCCGCCACACUGGGACUGAGACACGGCCCAGACUCCUACGGGAGGCAGCAGUGGGGAAUAUUGGACAAUGGGCGCAAGCCUGAUCCAGCCAUGCCGCGUGUGUGAAGAAGGCCUUAUGGUUGUAAAGCACUUUAAGCGAGGAGGAGGCUACUUUAGAUAAUACCUAGAGAUAGUGGACGUUACUCGCAGAAUAAGCACCGGCUAACUCUGUGCCAGCAGCCGCGGUAAUACAGAGGGUGCAAGCGUUAAUCGGAUUUACUGGGCGUAAAGCGCGCGUAGGCGGCUAAUUAAGUCAAAUGUGAAAUCCCCGAGCUUAACUUGGGAAUUGCAUUCGAUACUGGUUAGCUAGAGUGUGGGAGAGGAUGGUAGAAUUCCAGGUGUAGCGGUGAAAUGCGUAGAGAUCUGGAGGAAUACCGAUGGCGAAGGCAGCCAUCUGGCCUAACACUGACGCUGAGGUGCGAAAGCAUGGGGAGCAAACAGGAUUAGAUACCCUGGUAGUCCAUGCCGUAAACGAUGUCUACUAGCCGUUGGGGCCUUUGAGGCUUUAGUGGCGCAGCUAACGCGAUAAGUAGACCGCCUGGGGAGUACGGUCGCAAGACUAAAACUCAAAUGAAUUGACGGGGGCCCGCACAAGCGGUGGAGCAUGUGGUUUAAUUCGAUGCAACGCGAAGAACCUUACCUGGCCUUGACAUACUAGAAACUUUCCAGAGAUGGAUUGGUGCCUUCGGGAAUCUAG
Molecule: ribosomal RNA, 978 nt
Filed under: Acinetobacter nosocomialis
Lineage: Bacteria; Pseudomonadati; Pseudomonadota; Gammaproteobacteria; Moraxellales; Moraxellaceae
Description: bacterial SSU rRNA
Rfam family: Bacterial small subunit ribosomal RNA
Source: RNAcentral